This is a long non-coding RNA of Bos taurus (domestic cattle), 1474 nucleotides long. Lineage: Eukaryota; Metazoa; Chordata; Mammalia; Artiodactyla; Bovidae. The record is from Ensembl.
ACCCUACUUCACCAAUUCUUUCAUGCAUACCAGAAAAGACUCUCGUCCAAGUUUUCCCCUUCUCCUUCCUGACUAACUCUGGUGCCUCCCUGCGCAGCCCCUGGAGCGUGGCAUGUCCCCUCCUCUAGGAAUAUCGUAUGCCGUGGCAGAUGGUAGGUGAUACAGCGACGUAUUCAGUUAGAUGAGCUCCUUGCUAACAACUGCUUGUCCCACCUCCUCACUCGAGGAGCUGGGACGUUCUCGUACCUGUCCUAAGAAAUCCAUCAAAACCAGGACAACAUUGUCAAAUGCAGGCCCAAGGUGUCCAUCUGCUGUGGAGAAGAUUAGGAUUUGCUGCUGAAGUAACAAAGAAGGAUAAGGGUGAUUUUCACUUAUAACAUGCAGAAUAGGAUUAGGCAAAAACAAUAGCUUUACUAGCCAGGCAUUUGUAUUGAGAGGAUUUUCCAAAAGUCUCUAAUAGCCUUCAUGAAAGGCCAUUGAGGGAGGGACACUUCUAUUGCGAUGAGAAGCUGUCCCUUUCCCCUUAAGACAAGAAAGCUGGUGAACCUUAUUGCUCAAUACGGGGAGGAUGUAACAAAAGAGAAAUCAAAGAACAAAAACAAACAGGAAGAGCCUGGAGAAGACUGGGGAGUGGAGAACAAGGAGAGCGAGUCAGGACGGGCUUUGAACCCGACAAAGGGGGUUACUCUCAAUAAAGGCGGGCGUGAGGAGAGCACCAAGGGCAAGAACGGUCUGUCGCUCCCUCCCGUCUUCUGUUAGGGUCCUGGAAGAGACCACCCAACCUCGAACUUGGCUCCUGCAAACGGGUCCUGCAGUGUCGUUGGGCAGAGAAGGCUCUGAGCCACUCUUGUUCCCAAUGGACAGGAAUUCUGAAUUGAGAACCGAGAAUCCUGACAGUCAGGAUACCAUACGCGGAGGAAGACCAAGAAUCGCGGGCAACCGUCAGGACCUGGGAGAGAGACGUGGAAACGAUUCUCUCAGAACCUCCAGUUUGAACCAACACUGCAGACACUUUGAUCUGGGGCUUCUAGCCUCCAGAACUAUACAAGGAUAAAUUUCUGUUGUGCUAAAUCACUCAGUUUGUGGUGGUUUUUUUGUUUGUUUGUUUUUUUACAGCAGCCUUAGCAGACCAGCACAAGUACCAUGUGAGGGGUGGCUUCAACAGGGCAUUAGCAUAGGACUGGGAAACACAGUGAAAGGGGAAUCUUUUCCAUGAAAAGCCGGACGCUCUGUCUCAUGGGCGUGGUAUAGAAGUGACUGACUGCAGGCAACAGCUACACAGAGUGGCCAGCUCAGCCAGAAAGAUGCGGGAAACCUAAAAAAGAGACCUCUCCAUACACAGAAGCUCUACUGUCAUUCCCAGAAGAAACCAGGCCUGUGGUGGGCCAAGAUGGAAGUCAGUCUCAGCAUGUAGGACAAAGACAUUUCUAAUCGUAGAGCAAAGGAAAUGAGGAAUUUAUGACAAAGCUCAAAC